GAUGAACGCUGGCGGCGUGCCUAAUACAUGCAAGUCGAGCGAACGGACGAGAAGCUUGCUUCUCUGAUGUUAGCGGCGGACGGGUGAGUAACACGUGGAUAACCUACCUAUAAGACUGGGAUAACUUCGGGAAACCGGAGCUAAUACCGGAUGGUAUUUUGAACCGCAUGGUUCAAAAGUGAAAGACGGUCUUGCUGUCACUUAUAGAUGGAUCCGCGCUGCAUUAGCUAGUUGGUAAGGUAACGGCUUACCAAGGCAACGAUGCAUAGCCGACCUGAGAGGGUGAUCGGCCACACUGGAACUGAGACACGGUCCAGACUCCUACGGGAGGCAGCAGUAGGGAAUCUUCCGCAAUGGGCGAAAGCCUGACGGAGCAACGCCGCGUGAGUGAUGAAGGUCUUCGGAUCGUAAAACUCUGUUAUUAGGGAAGAACAUAUGUGUAAGUAACUGUGCACAUCUUGACGGUACCUAAUCAGAAAGCCACGGCUAACUACGUGCCAGCAGCCGCGGUAAUACGUAGGUGGCAAGCGUUAUCCGGAAUUAUUGGGCGUAAAGCGCGCGUAGGCGGUUUUUUAAGUCUGAUGUGAAAGCCCACGGCUCAACCGUGGAGGGUCAUUGGAAACUGGAAAACUUGAGUGCAGAAGAGGAAAGUGGAACUCCAUGUGUAGCGGUGAAAUGCGCAGAGAUAUGGAGGAACACCAGUGGCGAAGGCGACUUUCUGGUCUGUAACUGACGCUGAUGUGCGAAAGCGUGGGGAUCAAACAGGAUUAGAUACCCUGGUAGUCCACGCCGUAAACGAUGAGUGCUAAGUGUUAGGGGGUUUCCGCCCCUUAGUGCUGCAGCUAACGCAUUAAGCACUCCGCCUGGGGAGUACGACCGCAAGGUUGAAACUCAAAGGAAUUGGCGGGGACCCGCACAAGCGGUGGAGCAUGUGGUUUAAUUCGAAGCAACGCGAAGAACCUUACCAAAUCUUGACAUCCUUUGACAACUCUAGAGAUAGAGCCUUCCCCUUCGGGGGACAAAGUGACAGGUGGUGCAUGGCUGUCGUCAGCUCGUGUCGUGAGAUGUUGGGUUAAGUCCCGCAACGAGCGCAACCCUUAAGCUUAGUUGCCAUCAUUAAGUUGGGCACUCUAAGUUGACUGCCGGUGACAAACCGGAGGAAGGUGGGGAUGACGUCAAAUCAUCAUGCCCCUUAUGAUUUGGGCUACACACGUGCUACAAUGGACAAUACAAAGGGCAGCGAAACCGCGAGGUCAAGCAAAUCCCAUAAAGUUGUUCUCAGUUCGGAUUGUAGUCUGCAACUCGACUACAUGAAGCUGGAAUCGCUAGUAAUCGUAGAUCAGCAUGCUACGGUGAAUACGUUCCCGGGUCU
Molecule: ribosomal RNA, 1372 nt
Filed under: uncultured bacterium
Lineage: Bacteria
Description: bacterial SSU rRNA
Rfam family: Bacterial small subunit ribosomal RNA
Source: RNAcentral